This 227-nucleotide ribosomal RNA is filed under the name uncultured bacterium. Its description in RNAcentral is "partial 16S ribosomal RNA". It matches the Rfam family "Bacterial small subunit ribosomal RNA", at positions 15 to 235 of the family's 1533-position model. The record is from RNAcentral.
GAUCAUGGCUCAGGAUGAACGCUGGCGGCGUGCUUAACACAUGCAAGUCGAACGAGAGAGGAUCGGUGCUUGCACUGAUCCAAUCGAGUGGCGGACGGGUGAGUAACGCGUGGGUAACCUGCCUCAUACAGGGGAAUAACAGUUGGAAACGGCUGCUAAAACCGCAUAAGCGCACAGUAUCGCAUGAUACAGUGUGAAAAACUCCGGUGGUAUGAGAUGGACCCGCG